Molecule: ribosomal RNA, 939 nt
Filed under: Enterococcus faecalis
Lineage: Bacteria; Bacillati; Bacillota; Bacilli; Lactobacillales; Enterococcaceae
Description: bacterial SSU rRNA
Rfam family: Bacterial small subunit ribosomal RNA
Source: RNAcentral
GCAGUCGACGCUUCUUUCCAUCCCGAGUGCUUGCACUCAUUGGAAAGAGGAGUGGCGGACGGGUGAGUAACACGUGGGUAACCUACCCAUCAGAGGGGGAUAACACUUGGAAACAGGUGCUAAUACCGCAUAACAGUUUAUGCCGCAUGGCAUAAGAGUGAAAGGCGCUUUCGGGUGUCGCUGAUGGAUGGACCCGGGGUGCAUUAGCUAGUUGGUGAGGUAACGGCUCACCAAGGCCACGAUGCAUAGCCGACCUGAGAGGGUGAUCGGCCACACUGGGACUGAGACACGGCCCAGACUCCUACGGGAGGCAGCAGUAGGGAAUCUUCGGCAAUGGACGAAAGUCUGACCGAGCAACGCCGCGUGAGUGAAGAAGGUUUUCGGAUCGUAAAACUCUGUUGUUAGAGAAGAACAAGGACGUUAGUAACUGAACGUCCCCUGACGGUAUCUAACCAGAAAGCCACGGCUAACUACGUGCCAGCAGCCGCGGUAAUACGUAGGUGGCAAGCGUUGUCCGGAUUUAUUGGGCGUAAAGCGAGCGCAGGCGGUUUCUUAAGUCUGAUGUGAAAGCCCCCGGCUCAACCGGGGAGGGUCAUUGGAAACUGGGAGACUUGAGUGCAGAAGAGGAGAGUGGAAUUCCAUGUGUAGCGGUGAAAUGCGUAGAUAUAUGGAGGAACACCAGUGGCGAAGGCGGCUCUCUGGUCUGUAACUGACGCUGAGGCUCGAAGCGUGGGGAGCAAACAGGAUUAGAUACCCUGGUAGUCCACGCCGUAAACGAUGAGUGCUAAGUGUUGGAGGAUUCCGCCCUUCAGUGCUGCAGCAACGCAUUAAGCACUCCGCCUGGGAGUACGACCGCAAGGUUGAACUCAAGGAUUGAGGGGCCCGCACAAGCGGUGGAGCAUGUGGUUUAAUUCAGAGCACGCGAAGACCUUACCAGGU